UGGGGGUGGCGGUGGCGGUUCCUUGAUGACCUGAAACACACACACACACAGGCCUGUCAGUGUCUGCAAGCUUUGUCCCCCAUCUACAUACAACCUUUUCACUCAUUGAAACAGUCCGGCUCAUCAACUUCAUCUCUUCAAAAGUUUCGUGGUUCAUACUUACACAGCGGGUGCUGGUGAUGCUGACGGAACUGGAGAUGAACGUCAGUCCGCUGUUCAUGCUAACUUGCAGGUACAGGAGUGCCUUACAGGAACCAUCCGUUGUCCUUUAAUGCAAUGGAAGAAUCAAACUCCAUUUGUAGAAGAACGUUAUUAUUUUUUUGAAAAUUACCUGAGUUUCGUUAAAGUCUU
Long non-coding RNA from Podarcis raffonei (Aeolian wall lizard), 351 nucleotides. RefSeq lists it as uncharacterized. The transcript is spliced from 3 exons. Lineage: Eukaryota; Metazoa; Chordata; Lepidosauria; Squamata; Lacertidae. The record is from RefSeq and is a predicted model, not a curated record.